This 199-nucleotide unclassified non-coding RNA is filed under the name soil metagenome. RNAcentral's name for it is "partial contains 5.8S ribosomal RNA, internal transcribed spacer 2, and large subunit ribosomal RNA". The record is from RNAcentral.
AACGGUCUAUACCUGCGGUACCUGCGGAAGGAUCAUUAUCAAUUUACAGCGGACUUCGGUCCUGUCUGCACCCUUGUCUUUUGCGUACUAUAUGUUUCCUCGGUGGGCUUGCCUGCCGAUAGGACACUUAUAAACUCUUUUGUAAUUGCAAUCAGCGUCAGAAAACUAUAAUAGUUACAACUUUCAACAAUGGAUCUCU